UACGUAGGGUGCGAGCGUUGUCCGGAAUUAUUGGGCGUAAAGGGCUCGUAGGCGGUUUGUCGCGUCUAUCGUGAAAAUCCGGGGCUCAACCCCGGACUUGCGGUGGGUACGGGCAGACUAGAGUGUGGUAGGGGAGACUGGAAUUCCUGGUGUAGCGGUGAAAUGCGCAGAUAUCAGGAGGAACACCGAUGGCGAAGGCAGGUCUCUGGGCCACUACUGACGCUGAGAAGCGAAAGCAUGGGGAGCGAACAGG
RNAcentral lists this ribosomal RNA (253 nucleotides) under uncultured bacterium. Its description in RNAcentral is "partial 16S ribosomal RNA". It matches the Rfam family "Bacterial small subunit ribosomal RNA", at positions 524 to 776 of the family's 1533-position model. The record is from RNAcentral.